UGUAAACAAAAAUAAAUAAAAUUGUUACAUUUGUGUACAGCAAAGGAGCAGAUGUGAGAGGGUACUUUGUGUGGUCCCUUUUAGACAACUUUGAGUGGAAUCAUGGAUAUAGUAUAAGGUUUGGACUUCAUCAUGUUGACUUUGACACACUCAAUAGAACCCCAAGAGGAUCAGCAUUUUGGUACAGAAAUUUCAUUGCACAAAAUAAGGCUAAGGUUGGCAUUAGGCUUGGGCAUACUCAAGAGUGAUGAUGAAGAAUGAAAGAUAGUUUUACAAGAAUAUAGUAUAUGUGUUUCAUGAAUAAUGCUAGCAACACACUCUUUAACAAACACACUCCAACACACUCUUUUUUAUUGGUUGAAAUUCACAUGGGUCUCAUAAAAAAAUGUGGACCCAUAUAACUUUUAUGGGACCCAUAUAAGUUUUAACCAAUAGAAAAGAGUGUGUUAGAGUGUGUUUGUUAAAGAGUGUAUUGUUAGCACUCCUCGUGUUUCAUAAUUUCACUUCAAUCAUAUAUUGUCAGCUUGUUGUUUAUUUUAUUCAAUAAUUAUAAAAGAGUUCAAUUUGUGUUCUCAA
This 576-nucleotide long non-coding RNA is filed under the name Trifolium pratense (red clover). RNAcentral describes it as "long non-coding RNA (TPRA_LNC012269)". Lineage: Eukaryota; Viridiplantae; Streptophyta; Magnoliopsida; Fabales; Fabaceae. The record is from RNAcentral.